RNAcentral lists this ribosomal RNA (213 nucleotides) under Herpotrichiellaceae sp. RNAcentral's name for it is "partial large subunit ribosomal RNA". Lineage: Eukaryota; Fungi; Ascomycota; Eurotiomycetes; Chaetothyriales; Herpotrichiellaceae. The record is from RNAcentral.
AAGCGCUUGCAACCAGACUUGUGUUUAACGGUUCCCUCGAUCUUUUGAUCGGGUUAUUCUGUUAUAUCCAGGCCAGCAUCGGUUUGGAUGGUUGGUUAAAGACUUUAGGAAUGUAUCUACCUUCGGGUCGACUUAUAGCUCAGGGUGUAAUGCAGCCUAUCUGGACCGAGGAACGCGCUUUUGCUCGGAUGCUGGCGUAAUGGUUGUAAGCGG